Molecule: ribosomal RNA, 517 nt
Filed under: uncultured bacterium
Lineage: Bacteria
Description: bacterial SSU rRNA
Rfam family: Bacterial small subunit ribosomal RNA
Source: RNAcentral
GAAUUUAGCAGAGAUGCUUUAGUGCCUUCGGGAACUCUGAGACAGGUGCUGCAUGGCUGUCGUCAGCUCGUGUUGUGAAAUGUUGGGUUAAGUCCCGCAACGAGCGCAACCCUUAUCCUUUGUUGCCAGCACGUAAUGGUGGGAACUCAAAGGAGACUGCCGGUGAUAAACCGGAGGAAGGUGGGGAUGACGUCAAGUCAUCAUGGCCCUUACGAGUAGGGCUACACACGUGCUACAAUGGCGCAUACAAAGAGAAGCGACCUCGCGAGAGCAAGCGGACCUCAUAAAGUGCGUCGUAGUCCGGAUUGGAGUCUGCAACUCGACUCCAUGAAGUCGGAAUCGCUAGUAAUCGUAAAUCAGAAUGUUACGGUGAAUACGUUCCCGGGCCUUGUACACACCGCCCGUCACACCAUGGGAGUGGGUUGCAAAAGAAGUAGAUAGCUUAACCUUCGGGAGGGCGUUUACCACUUUGUGAUUCAUGACUGGGGUGAAGUCGUAACAAGGUAAGCGUAGUGCU